This is a long non-coding RNA of Leopardus geoffroyi (Geoffroy's cat), 1174 nucleotides long. RefSeq lists it as uncharacterized. The transcript is spliced from 2 exons. NCBI's taxonomy places the organism in Eukaryota, Metazoa, Chordata, Mammalia, Carnivora, Felidae. The record is from RefSeq and is a predicted model, not a curated record.
GCAAACUUGUUUUUCUAAGGUCAGCGCCGCGAGCUGGCUACAUCGUCCUCUUAAGGUGGACUGGGGAAGUUGCGACCGACCUCCCUCCCCUCGCCUCCGGGACUCCGGCCGCGGCCACAUCGGGCAGAGACCAUGAAGGUGACCAGCUGAGGCUCUUGGAAAAAUCCAUCACCCAAAUCUAUCCGGGGUACAAGGCAGAGCAAGGGCUGCUGCUUGAAGGUCAGCGACGAGGCGGUCUCCGGGCCUGGGCUUCCAGAAGGCUCUGCCAUCCACCGUUCCCCGGGACACACACGCAGACCUCCCCGGGAUUAAGAAACUGCGGAUUAAGGAAGGAUAAUAAUUGAACCACCUGCUAUUUAUGUAUAGCACCUUUGGCAAAGACAGUCAAGAGGCCUUCCCCACACUGGGGCCCCUUUCAUCCCCCCUUCUGCCCCAGGAAGCGGGGAGCGGUGGGGGUGGGGGUCUGGCCUUGUUCUCCUAAUCCAAAGACCACAGAAAAGUCACCCUUGACUGACGGUCAGGGCUGGGAGGUCAUUGAGACCAGUGGGCAGCUGGGUAUGCUGGGGUCGGGGGACAGUUUGCCUGAGGUCACCCCGAGCGAUUGCGGCAGAUCAUUGAGGUGAACCAGCCACCUCCACGGGAGGCCUCCUGGGUUGCCCUGGAUUCAAAUCGAACUUCCUUCCUACGUAUGCCAUUCAUUCACGCACUCGCCAAUACUCUUUAAGCAUCUAUCGUGUGCCAGGCACUGUGCUAGGCUUGGGAAUACAGCACUUGGAGGGGGGUGGGAAACAGACAAAAACCCCUGCCCGCAAGGCAGGGAAGGGGCCCAGGAGUGCCCACGAGAGGAGACGGGUCGGGGAAGGCCUCUGACGACGUGCUAUUUGAGGGAAGACUGCAAGAUUCGGGAAAGGAAGCCAGAGGCGGCCCCGUCUGUGCUUUGCUUUUCUCUGUCACUCCCCGUGCGCAACCUGUCAGCGAUGCCUGUCUCCACCUCCAGAACCAAGCCGCUUCUGAGCGUCUCCACCAUCUCCCACCUGGGCACCUUCUUUCCACCCUCGGCCUCCCCUUCUCCCAUCGACUCUCCACUCAGCAGCCAGAGGCAUCCGUUCUGGAAGGCAGGCGUCAUCCUUCCCCUGCUGUCCAGGACUCGGGAAAUGACAUGUGUUUUGUGAGC